CGGGAUUUGGCGGGGCCUUUGUCUCUCGCUGCAGCCGGAGCUCCAGGUCUCGUCUUCACUGCUCUGUGUCCUCUGCUCCUAGAGGUCCAUCUUCUGUGGCCCCGUUACCUGCAGGCCAGAAAAACUGGGAAAAACACAGGCUCUUCCACUUACUGGAUGUUUGACAAAAUAUUCUUCUUGGGCCAAAAACAUUGGCAUUACUGGGACCACUGACAUUUAGGGAUGUGGCCAUAGAAUUCUCUCUGGAGGAGUGGCAAUGCCUGGACACUGCACAGCAGAAUUUGUAUAGGAAUGUGAUGUUAGAGAACUACAGAAACCUGGUCUUCCUGGGUAUUGCUGUCUCUAAGCCAGACCUGAUCACUUGUCUGGAGCAAGGAAAAGAGCCCUGCAAUAUGAAGAGACAUGCGAUGGUAGCCAAACCCCCAGGUUGGAGUGCAGUGGCGUGAUCUUGGGUCACUGCAAACUCUGCCCCUCGGGAUUCAAGUGAUUCUACUGCCUCAGCCUCCCGAGUAGCUGGAAUUAUAGGCGAGUGCUGUCAUGCCUGGCUAAUUUUUGUAUUUUUAGUAGAGUCAGCGUUUCACCAUGUUGGGCAGGCUGGUCUUGAACUCCUGACCUCGUGUGAUCUGCCCUCCUCAGCCUCCCAAAGUGCUGGGAUUACAGGCAUGAGCCACAGUGCCCGGCCAAGUAUUUUUAUAUUUCAGAUCAUAUCUACUGAAUGACUUAGUGACAGAAAUUUGCAUUGCUUUUACCUAUUGGCUUUCAGUAGCAAUGGUAUAAUAAUUAUGGGUAUGAAAAUGACUCUUCAUAUGACCAUAUAUGUGAAAGUAUAUAUAUGUGCUGCAUUCUAUUUUACUAGUCUCCUUUUUUUUUUUUUUACCUUUGUACUUGUAGCAAAUUGUUUUAAUUCUGUAGCUUUGUAAUAUGUUUUAAACUCAGAAACUAUAAUGCUUCCAACAUUGUUCCUUUUUUUGAAGAUUGUUAGGUACUUUAUUGUCUCUUGAGAUUCCAUAUACUUUAGGGGUUGCUGUUUUUAUGUCUUCAAAAAUGCAAUGAGAAAUUGAGAAAACAUUGCAUUAAAUCUUGUAGAUUACAUUGAGCAAUAUAGACAUCCUCAUAAUAUUUCAGCUUUUGAACAAAAGCAUGCUAAAGAAUGUGGUUUAAUUUGCUAUAUAUUUGUAAACUUGUUAGCUUUUAAUAUUAUUGUUUUAUAUUGUCAUUCCGUUUUUGUUAUGGAAAGUAAUCCAUAAAAUUUCAGUUCUAAAAUACUUUUUAAGACUCUUUUGACUUAUUUGGUGGUCUAUCAAGAAGAAAGUUGUAUGAACUGUCAGUAAGGGUGUGUAUCUUAAUGUUGUUCAGUUUUGUAUACCUAUGUUAGGAAUAUUUGUUUUAUACUGCCUUCAGGUCCUCUGUUCUCUUACUAAAAUUCUGUCUUGUUUUAUUCUUACUAUAGAAAAUGGGAUAUUAAAAUAGUCUAUAAU
RNAcentral lists this small RNA (1478 nucleotides) under Pongo abelii (Sumatran orangutan). RNAcentral's name for it is "processed transcript". Lineage: Eukaryota; Metazoa; Chordata; Mammalia; Primates; Hominidae. The record is from RNAcentral.